UUUGAGAUAUUACAGUAACUGAUAGGAGGAGGAUGAUGAUGUUGAUGGUGAUUAUCCUUGGGACUCCCAGGUCAUGGACGUUUCCUUUAGAACAUACCAGAAGUUCCUCGGGGCUGCGUUCUCAGGAGGAGAGGUUUCUGGAGGAGGUAGAAACCAUCGUUGCAAUGGACUCAGCUGAUCGCCUGCCUUUGUGUACCUAGAGGAAACUUGGCUGAUAAGAUGAUCUUUCUCACAGGUACGUUUCCUCUCUUCCUGAAGAAAAAUGUCUGGUAGAACAGGUUGGCCAUCUUUGCAAAUGUGCCUUGGACUAGCUGUGGGUGUCUGACAUGGAUCUUACUCAAUAAGUUGAAUCUGCGGAGCCACCGGCCUUUGAAGCAGCUCCAAGAUUAUAAUAAUGAUGACCACCCUUGGACUGGGGAGAACAGAGAGCAGGGAGGAACAAUUUACCCUGAGCGAUAAUUCUAGUGACUGCAAAAGCAAGGACUUUGGCAUCAAACAGAGUCCCGACUCUCCAGCACCUGCCAGCUGUGUGACCUUGGUGUUCGGCAACGUCGAGAACUUAAGGAGUUCGUUCUGUGAAUUGUUGGAGCAGCUCUGCGUGGAAUGGAACCCAGUGACGCCCGACGCUAUAAGAUACUGGGGGAGGAGGCACUUGUGUUUGAAGCCCAAACCUGUCUCUAUCUCAUUUAGACAUUGGGGAUUGUAUUCCCACUUUUGCUCCAUCAGUAGCACUCCAGGGAAUGAGGUGGGAGUUGGCAAGAAGGGAGAGGAGAACAACAAUAUUUACUCAGCUUUGAAUUCUGCUCAGCUUUAGUUCAGGUGGGGAUCCACUGAGCUCCACUGCCUGACUUCUACGGACUGUCCGCUCGGGUUGGAGGCUGCUUCUUCAAUCAUCUCAAGGAAGUAAUGACAUAGGGAUUUUCUUCCAUAUGUGAUCGGCAGAUCACACCCGAUCACUCUCUGAACGCAAUGGUUAUGUGCCCAUGGAUUAGACCAUACUUCCGUGGGGAGAAAAAGAGAAAAUCAAGGUCCCCCACCAGGUCAUCUGCUCAGAUUUAGAAAACAGGUGUCUAGAGUGCAUUGACUUACAGCACAAGCUACCCUGCUUCUCCAGUAUGUACAAAUUAGGUAACUUGGGAACUUAAAAAUUGCAGUGCCAGAGCACGAUGCCUGAACGUUUAUGGUAGAGUUAUGGCUCUUCAGAAAUCAAGAAGGAGUUAGGAAAUCAGAAGCCAAGAGCUUCUCUCUGUUCUCCUUUGUAGAUGACCAUGUUAUAGGAGGGAAGGGAAUGAGAGGGAGGCUUGGAAAUCUUUACAAAAACAUUCUCCCUCUGAGUCACGUCUAGAAAAAAUUAGAAGGCCACAAUAAUUGGGUUGUCGUGUGUGAGUUUUUUCCCCCCUUAUUCAGGAAUGAUAUCAAUAAUAAAUAGCUCACCAAAAGAACUAAGUGUUUGUGA
This 1456-nucleotide long non-coding RNA is filed under the name Ursus maritimus (polar bear). RNAcentral describes it as "lncRNA (ENSUMAG00000022478.1)". The record is from RNAcentral. Lineage: Eukaryota; Metazoa; Chordata; Mammalia; Carnivora; Ursidae.